RNAcentral lists this ribosomal RNA (487 nucleotides) under Montanelia panniformis. RNAcentral describes it as "eukaryotic LSU rRNA". It matches the Rfam family "Eukaryotic large subunit ribosomal RNA", at positions 144 to 643 of the family's 3401-position model. Lineage: Eukaryota; Fungi; Ascomycota; Lecanoromycetes; Lecanorales; Parmeliaceae. The record is from RNAcentral.
UGUAAUUUGUAGAGAGUGUUUCGGGUGAGACCACGGUUUAAGUCCAUUGGAACAGGGCGUCAUAGAGGGUGAGAAUCCCGUAUGUGACUGUGGCUCGAACCCAUGUGAAGCCUCUUCGACGAGUCGAGUUGUUUGGGAAUGCAGCUCAAAAUGGGUGGUAAAUUUCAUCUAAAGCUAAAUACUGGCUGGAGACCGAUAGCGCACAAGUAGAGUGAUCGAAAGAUGAAAAGCACUUUGGAAAGAGAGUCAAACAGUACGUGAAAUUGUUGAAAGGGAAGCGCUUGCAACCAGACCUGUGCGUAGGUGAUCAGCCGCUGUUCUCAGUGGUGCACUCGCUCUGCGAUCAGGCCAGCAUCGGUUUCGGCGGUCGGAUAAAGGCCUUGGGAAUGUAGCUUCCCUUCGGGGGAGUCUUAUAGCCCUCGGUGCAAUGCGGCCAGCCGGGACCGAGGACCGCGCUUCGGCUAGGAUGCUGGCGUAAUGGUUGUAA